ACUGUCGAUGGGAAUGCAAAUUGGUAUGGCCAUUAUGGAAAACAGUACAGAGGUUCCUCAACAUUAAAAAUAGAAUCACCAUGUGAUCCAGCAAUACCAUUUCUGGGUAUUUAUUCAAGUCCAAUUCUCAUCCUGGGCUUUAGUUUCUAAGCAUGAUGAAUGUUAAAUGCAUGUGAUGGGCCAGAAUUGCAAUUCUACAAUCUAUGUGAACGAUGCCAAACAAACUCUAAAGUAUGUCAUGUCUAUAGUAAACACAAUUCUGUUCCCAUUGCUCUUGCAAGGUUAUAAGCACAAGAGCACCAGGUAAAAUCACAGAACAGGCGUUUCCAGGUGCCACGCCCACUAUACAAAGUGAGAUGGCUGUAAUAUUUAUGGCUGAGGUCCUGGUGGGGAGCCUGUGGAGAAAUGCUUCUCCCAGAAUAACACUGUGGGCACACAGUUGUGCUUAAUGACCACUGAUGGGUCGUGAUGGGCCCUUCUGUCAUCAUCACAAUACAUGUUAAGGGAGGCUUCCGGUUUGUGAGCCUUGCUAGUGUGCAGGGCUACUUUGCUUCUGAUGAGCGCUUGUCUCUGAGGCAUCUGCAGAGCUUGGUGAUCUGCCCAGGAAUGAGCUCAUACAUUCUGCAGAUUCCAGGGAACAGACAAGAGCAACAGCAUUGAAAGAACCAAGCGAAGGUACCGGCUAGAGUCUCUGAUUCUGGGCCAGCCCUCCUGCAGUGUGGCCUGGGCAGUGGAUGUCCCCACCAAUGGACACAGCUAUCUUUAAUUUCAAACUUAACCCUGAGUGCACAGGACCUGAACUUUUGUCCUUGGAGGAGGUAAAGCCAAACUCUGGCUAAAGAUUGAGAAAUUCACAAUAAAGAAUCCCAGAUAUGAUUUUUUCCCCCUCAUUUGAACUUUCAAACAUGGUCAUAAAUCAUCCUGGAUUUUUCUUCCACAGUCUGCCCUCUUCUGGGAAGGUUUUAAGAUGGGGCGGGAUUGUGAGCGGAUGCUUCCUUACUAUAGAGAUUGGAUGGCUGGGAUAACUGGGAUCCGGGGUUCAUGGGGCCUAUAGUCCAAAGUACAUUUUACCUAAGCUCAGGGCUGUGACCUGGGGUGGGGGUACUUUCCUCUUUCUUGCCUUGCUGAUUAUCCAUUCUCCUCAGGUGCAGGACCCUGAAGAAGGCAUCCAUGUCCAAUUAUGAGCAUGCACUAUUAUCUCAUUAGUAAGCACACAAGUCACCCAGGCAUCUUUGAACCAGCAGUUCCUUCCCGAGUCAACAGGUCUGGGGCGAGGCCUGGGACCGCAUGUCUAACCAACUGUCAGGGGAUGCUGAUGUUGCUCCAGGGACUACAAACUGCAUAAGAAGGGCCCAGGGGAUCAUGCAUAGAGUGAUGUUUUGACAAGGCGAAGAAAUGCGUCUUGGCUGAAGGCCCAUGUUUUGUCCCAGCACAUCCUUUUUACCAAAAGAGCCAUCCCUGGAGCUGCCAAGAGUGUUUUCGAGAAAGCCAUCCAACAGUACUUUGGAUGUGGGAGCAUGACCUGACCGUAGACGUGGCCUUCCCCAUGCCAUGAACCAUCCGUCAGACAGCCUGGCACAUACUGUUGGUGUCUUUAUUUUUACCCCCAAAUGUAAAGCUGGAUUCUUUCAUUCUUUUUUUUCUUUUUUCCAGCUGGGAAAACUCCUGUCAGUGGAUGCAGUGUCCUUUCCAGAUUCAAUAUUAUGCAAACUGCAUAUCGGCAAAUGGAGUAAACAAAUAUGUCCAUGAAGUUUCUGGAUGCACAGAGAGAGGGGCUGUACCAAUACACAGGCACAGACCUCCCGAUAUGCAUGGGAAUGGCUGAGCACCCUUGGCCAGCCCCAUGGCCAUCUCCACUGCCAUCUCUCUCCUCUGCAACAUGUUUGAGCACCUGAGAUAGUAGGCCAUUCUGCUGCCCAGCAGCAGAGGACAAGAGGUGGCACACACAUCUAGGGGUGGCUGUAGGUUAAAUUGGAGCUGUCAAUGGCUGGGUCUGGGGGGUCCUUUCAGGGAAUGAGGGUGAAGUUGCCCCAGCCAGUCCUGUACCUGCUCUAGGCCUGACCCUCUCCCCUUCAGCCCCACCCACAGCUAUCAGGCUCCUCAACCACAGGCAAGGCUGUGGGCAUUUGUGCUUUUCAGCUCUGUCUUCCCUGCCUGUCAGGUAUGGACAGGAGGCAUUACCCAUACUGAGUCUUCCUGGUAGAGAGAAUUUGGCCCAGUCCCUUUCUCAUCACAGACUUCAAUUUCCAGGCACAGGGAGAGUUAAAGUGUGUGUGACGGACCAAGGCUGGCUUUAGUCCUGCAGUUCUGCAAAGUGUAGGACACUUCUGCACUGUGCUGAUCCCAACAUGCUCCUAUUGCAAUAACCCUGGGAGAUUAAGUACUUUUUAAAAAUUUCCCUUCUAAGCAGAUGAGAAAACAGAUUUAAAAGGAUAAGAGUGGGUUUUUUUGAAAGGCGGGCAGCAAAUAAUUGGCAAAGCUAGCGUUUAGACCUGGGGCUGUCUUUUAACACAAAUCUCAUACUUACUUUUUGCAAAAUGGUACCAUGUUUCCCCAAACACCCCUGCAUUCAGAAAACAAACUAACAAACAAACAAACCAAAAAGGGUCAAGGACGUCUAAAAGGUCCAUCUUCAAAGCCUGAAAUGAAAUGUUUAUCUAUCUGUCCUCCACAUUCCACCUCUUCUACCCUGGCUGGCUUGACAGAUUUUUCUUGCAGCUUCGGUCCCCUUUGUUUGUGACAGGGGAUCUGCCUGCUUUCUUACAUGUUUGUUUCUAUGGACAGAUAGAAAUCAGCAUGUCCUCUGCUGGUCUAUGGUGGGGCAACAGGGCCUUCUCACCAUCACCUACCUUGUGGGAUCUGGCUUUGCAGAAGCUGUCACUCAAGUAGACUGGCUUCAGUCACUAUCAAACAUAUUGGAAGUCUCAGAAUUAAGGAAACAAAUAUUUGCAGCCAUGCUAGUUGGGCUCCUGAUAAAUAGGCAUGUUUGUCUUUAUUGUUUUGGAAGCGUGAUGAAUUCUGAGAUGUCAAGAGAAAAUGUCCCCAGACUCAAUUUCACAUCCCAAUCAGUGUCCUGUCCCUGGCGCCCAAGGUGUGUGUUGCAGAGCAGAUGGUUGUGUUGUGGGGAGACAAGACUGAGAUGAAGAUGCAUAACCCCCUUGCAUGGGCAGCUCUGAAGAGUCUCCAGCAGCUCUCGCAGGGGAAAUGCUGGGAUGGGAGGUUAGUUAGGCCACAGGAGGAACAACUGAGGCCAAAGCUCUAUGUGUUUAGUGGAUAGACAUCUUAUUGUGGAGGCUAUUGAUGAAUUGGAUAUCUGUGAUCUGAUUUUUAGCACCUAGCAUGUAUUUGAUAUUUCAUAUAGGUCUUUGAUUAUUAAAUUGUAAGUAAUUUUAGAUCUUUCCCCUUUCCAGAAUUUCACCAACUCCAUUCUUUUUGAAAGUGGAGACAUCAAUCAACUAAAAUAUUCUUUGGCCAAUCACUGUGCCCACUCGAUGUUCAGAUCCAAAGCCAAUAAAAUCUUUCAAGAAUACCCCA
Long non-coding RNA from Homo sapiens (human), 3534 nucleotides. RefSeq lists it as uncharacterized. The transcript is spliced from 2 exons. Lineage: Eukaryota; Metazoa; Chordata; Mammalia; Primates; Hominidae. The record is from RefSeq and is a predicted model, not a curated record.